This 406-nucleotide ribosomal RNA is filed under the name uncultured bacterium. Its description in RNAcentral is "partial 16S ribosomal RNA". It matches the Rfam family "Bacterial small subunit ribosomal RNA", at positions 29 to 526 of the family's 1533-position model. The record is from RNAcentral.
AGUGAACGCUGGCGGUAGGCAUAACACCUGCAAGUCGAACGAGAGGCGGACGGGGGAGGCAUACAGCGGAAUCUACUCUGUCGUUGGGGCUACCGUCGGGCACAUUACGCUAAUACCGCAUACUCUUACAUGAGCCGAUGGAGGAUUAGCUAGUUGGCGGGGUAAAGGCCCACCAAGGCGACGAUCCGUAGCUGGUCAGAGAGGAUGAUGAGCCAAAAGGGAACGGAGACACGGUCCAGACUCCUACGGUAGGCAGCAGGGGGGAAUAUUGGACAAUGGGCGCAAGCCUGAUCCAGCCAUACCGCGUGGGUGAAGAAGGCCGUAGGGUUGUAAAGCCCUUUUGUUGGGAAAGCGGUACCCAAAGAAUAAGCACCGGCUAACUUCGUGCCAGCCGCCGCGGUAAUAC